This 64-nucleotide ribosomal RNA is filed under the name Diehliomyces microsporus. RNAcentral describes it as "partial 25S ribosomal RNA". It matches the Rfam family "Eukaryotic large subunit ribosomal RNA", at positions 1 to 58 of the family's 3401-position model. The record is from RNAcentral. Lineage: Eukaryota; Fungi; Ascomycota; Pezizomycetes; Pezizales; Pyronemataceae.
AGCGCUUAACCUCGAAUCAGGUAGGGAUACCCGCUGAACUUAAGCAUAUCAAUAAGCGGAGGAA